Molecule: long non-coding RNA, 2850 nt
Filed under: Olea europaea subsp. europaea
Lineage: Eukaryota; Viridiplantae; Streptophyta; Magnoliopsida; Lamiales; Oleaceae
Source: RNAcentral
CAGGGCGUUACACAUAUUGUACAAAGCACCUAUACGAGCGAUGAGCUGCUGGGCCCACAUGUCCCAUGAGGUACCUCUCGGCUAGGGGGACAAAUGGUACUGGUAUAGAUUUUAUACAUACGAAAACAAGGAGACGGUGGAAAGCAGGGAGAUUGAUGACAAAACGAGAAAAGUUGGCAGGAAUACUGGAGGUUAAAUCAGUGAACACAAUUCCAAUGCCAGAGACCCGAGCUAUACCUAGGCUGGAACAGAGACAUAAAAAUCUAUGUUGUGAAUUGUGUGGUGAUGUUUUGAUAAGUAUGCUGCUUGACCCACAUAUGCCAAUAUGAGUGCCGGAUAAACCAAAAAGGUGAAAGCCAUUUGCAACAGAAGAAAAAGACAAAACAAUUACUUUCAAAGGAAUUCCUUGAACUACAAGGAAAAGCAAAUUAAUAACAAACUCCUAAACAAAGAAGAUCACCUAAUAAAAUUAGUCCUGGCAAAGAGGUGAAAAAAAUUUCUAUGCUACAUUAUUGCUAAAAGGUCACGAAAGAGAUGAAAUGGUUUGCAAAUGUGUACCUGAAUUGCAGCAUACGAGAAGUGUCCAAGAUCAGCAAACAUUGCUUUUGAGCCUCAGAGUAAAGUGAUAGAAAAUAUUGUCAUUCUAGUGUGGUGGACUAAUAUUCACCUAUCAUUAAUACAAGAUCUUUUCAAAUUACAACGCAACGAUUACGUUGACCACUAUUCGACCAUAUCAAAAGCAUAUUCAGCACAUGUUUGAUGACCAUUAUUUGAAAACUCUUUUUUUCAACAUGCUUAUUUCAACUACACAUUCAUAUAAUAAAAUAUUUUGCAUGUGAACCUAAGACUUGUCCCUACUUUUUAGCUACACAUUCUCCUAAAAUCACUAUUCAAAACAUUUGUUUUUUUUUUUUUCAAAUAAUGGCCGGGGCUUAAUUACAGAUUUGAUGAGCAUUAAGUUAUAAAAAUGCCUCUUCUUGUCAAGAUUUUUCCUUUUCAUUUAUGCCCAGCAGUGUGCUGGAUUUGCUAAGACUUAAAACUCAAGAAGGUCAAUAAUGUGCAGCAUGUUCUCUAUCACUUUCUUGGAUGUAUAAUUAAAAAUGCAUGCACGACAUUUUUUAAGGGGUUCGCCUGAAAUGCGCAAAAGAAUUCCACCCAGUGAUAUCCAUCCUCCUUUUCUUGUCUUCUUCAAGAACUUUAGCAAUUAAUAUGGGGGGACCGCUUGAUAAACUAGUGGAUUCCAGAGUAUAAAAUUGUACAAACCAAGAGCACUGAUGCAUUGUACUAUUUCCGGGCUAAUGGGCUUUGCUUUAAUGAUAUUUUAAAUUAUUUUUUCUCUGGUUAAACGAUUUCUCAUUUUCUUUUUCAAUUCCUUUUAAAUAGAAUUUUAAAUUAAUUUGUAUGCCCUGCGUUUAACGCUCAAGAAUAUUGCAAUUUGAUUUAAAACAUUUAUAAUUCAUUUAAGCGUAUAUAGAGAAUUUUUGGUGUAACCUACUACGGAUGGACUGCUUAAAUUUCCCCUUUAUUCAAGAGAAAAAAAUUCUCCCAAAUCCUAGAUACAUAAUUCGCAGCUGGUUCUGAUUUUGUAAAAAAUUGUUAGACCUACGGGUGGGAAAUUUUGAUUUAAUUUGUUCAAAUUGUUAUUGUUGUGGAUUAUUGAAAUUUUGGUUUAGGGAAAAAUUGAAAGGUGUCCGAGAACACAAGAUUUCAACUGGGGACAAUAGGGGCUUUGACUGUCAAUCAUUUCGUCAGUUUCUAUUGUGAUAUGCAGUAAACCACUCAUGAGCACUCUACAUUUCAUUUUCGGCGAGUUUUAAUACCCUACAUUUGGUUUUUUUUUUCCUUGUUCUAAAAAUGAUAUUUUUGUACUAUAAUGAAUUGAAUGUUCUUGUCAUUGCUCUAUCUAUUGCCUCGGUCAGGUACAUUUAAUGCCGAAAAUUCAUGUGCCAUUACAUUACUUACAUUCCUUGGCGCAAAUUCUUUCUAAAGUGAUGGAAUUGAUAUAAUUUACUUCAGUUGAGGACCUUUAAUAAUGCUGUUAUUUUAGAAGAGGAGGUUCUUGUCAAUUUUUGAAUUGGAUUGUUAUUGAACUUGAAGUGAGGAAGCUGCACAAGUCCUAACUGAUUGCCUUUGUUACUAAAAGUAUUCCUUCAACUGAGCAUGCUUGGUUGAUCACGUCAAAUAUGCUAUAAAUAGUAAGAAUAUAACUUUCAUAUGAUCCAGCUUUUAAUUUCCAAUAGAGUAGUUUAUAUUUUUCUCUUAACAUCAUAAUUUGAUGUAAUUAGAUCUAGAAAGGAAGAAGUCCAGCUUCUAAUUCCCGAUAGAGAAGUUUAUGUUUUUCUUAACCUAGUAAUUUGAUGCUGUAAUUAGAUUUAGAAGGGAAAAGUCCUUAAUUGUGAUGUUGAUUUGUUUUUUUGAAGUUUUAUUUUGGGGAACAGCGAAAUGUUAUUAAAAACGAUAAAGAUUAAGAAGAAGAUGAUAUUUAUACUAGUAUUUUUAUUAUACGAGCUGGCAUUUACUGGUAACUUUGCUCUCUUCAUGUGGCAUUAUGGUUGAAAUUUUUCGAGCACAAACCAAUAGAAUACAAACCGUAAUUAGAUUUGGUACUCUAAAUGGGAUUUCGAUUGGAUUAUACUCAGCUUGGGAUUCAAUUCUGUUGGUUUCUAUAGGUAUCUCUUUGCUAUCUACUUACAAUGUUCAACAUUGAACUGUUUCUCACUGAUGUUUCCAAAUUGAGGAUUUGUUAUUUUACUUUACUAGAUGACAAAGCUGGCAAUCAUCCCAUGUAUAGUCCUGUUGGAAACUCUUUUCCUAAGUAAGAAUUUCAGGAGAGAAACCACAUUUGGGCCC